Molecule: ribosomal RNA, 376 nt
Filed under: uncultured bacterium
Lineage: Bacteria
Description: bacterial SSU rRNA
Rfam family: Bacterial small subunit ribosomal RNA
Source: RNAcentral
AUACGUAGGGGGCAAGCGUUGUCCGGAAUUAUUGGGCGUAAAGGGCGCGUAGGCGGCAAUACAAGUCUGAUGUGAAAGUGCGGGGCUUAACCCCGUAAAGCAUUGGAAACUGUAUAGCUUGAGUGCAGGAGAGGAAAGUGGAAUUCCACGUGUAGCGGUGAAAUGCGUAGAUAUGUGGAGGAACACCAGUGGCGAAGGCGACUUUCUGGACUGCAACUGACGCUGAGGCGCGAAAGCGUGGGUAGCGAACAGGAUUAGACACCCUGGUAGUCCACGCCGUAAACGAUGAGUGCUAGGUGUAGAGGGUAUCGACCCCUUCUGUGCCGCAGUUAACACAAUAAGCACUCCGCCUGGGGACUACGGCCGCAAGGCUAAA